RNAcentral lists this long non-coding RNA (351 nucleotides) under Setaria viridis. Its description in RNAcentral is "long non-coding RNA (SVIR_LNC007373)". The record is from RNAcentral. Lineage: Eukaryota; Viridiplantae; Streptophyta; Magnoliopsida; Poales; Poaceae.
UCGGUGUGGAUGUAUCGUUGGUGUUGAUGUCCUCAUCAAAGAGGACUUGUGUGCUGAUGAUUCUUUUAGUCCUAUGCCACAAGUAGUUAAUAAGUGGGAUACUUUUGGUUUGGAACCAUACAAAUAUACUGAAGAGAAACUUUUUAUUCCUAUUACUUGUGCACAAGAUGAACUAAAAUUGUUGUCUUCUUUAAAUACUUUGGGUUAUAUUGAAUUUGAUAUUCUGUGUAAUCUAAAUUGUCUAAAAGAGAAACUUAAAUUUGAUUCUGGUUUGCUAAGUUUUAAUCAUUGUUCUCUUCAUGCAACUGGCAAAUAUGACAGCAAAGGAGAAUAUUUGGUGCAUAAAGUUUA